UGGGGAACAUUGCACAAUGGGCGAAAGCCUGAUGCAGCGACGCCGCGUGAGGGAUGACGGCCUUCGGGUUGUAAACCUCUUUCAGUAGGGACGAAGCGCAAGUGACGGUACCUACAGAAGAAGCACCGGCUAACUACGUGCCAGCAGCCGCGGUAAUACGUAGGGUGCGAGCGUUGUCCGGAAUUAUUGGGCGUAAAGAGCUCGUAGGCGGUUUGUUGCGUCGGCUGUGAAAACCUACAGCUUAACUGUGGGCCUGCAGUCGAUACGGGCAGACUUGAGUUCGGCAGGGGAGACUGGAAUUCCUGGUGUAGCGGUGAAAUGCGCAGAUAUCAGGAGGAACACCGGUGGCGAAGGCGGGUCUCUGGGCCGAUACUGACGCUGAGGAGCGAAAGCGUGGGGAGCGAACAGGAUUAGAUACC
This 419-nucleotide ribosomal RNA is filed under the name uncultured bacterium. Its description in RNAcentral is "bacterial SSU rRNA". It matches the Rfam family "Bacterial small subunit ribosomal RNA", at positions 355 to 786 of the family's 1533-position model. The record is from RNAcentral.